Molecule: transfer RNA, 73 nt
Filed under: Camelus bactrianus (Bactrian camel)
Lineage: Eukaryota; Metazoa; Chordata; Mammalia; Artiodactyla; Camelidae
Also listed under: 2 other names
Rfam family: tRNA
About the family: Transfer RNA (tRNA) molecules are approximately 80 nucleotides in length.
Source: Rfam by way of RNAcentral
GAGGGUAUAGCUUAGUGGUAGAGCGCAUGCUUGGCAUGCAUAAGGUUCCUGGGUUCAAUCCCCAGUACCUGUU